Molecule: long non-coding RNA, 2585 nt
Filed under: Capsicum annuum
Lineage: Eukaryota; Viridiplantae; Streptophyta; Magnoliopsida; Solanales; Solanaceae
Description: long non-coding RNA (CANN_LNC021388)
Source: RNAcentral
CAAAACCAAUUUUGACGACUUAAUAGGGGAUUUAACCAAGUCUAAGCAAAUGAAAAGCAAAAUAACACAUAAAAAGGGAUAGGGGAAAAAGUAAAAGACUUAGGCCAUUGGACCCAAAUCAAUAAAUCCUGUCCUAAUCUAAUUGGGUUUUUGGCCCACUUGCAUUUGUCCUAAUCUAAAUGUGGGCCUUGACCCGUAACUUGUCUUAAACUAAUUUUUCAGGCCCGUUGGUCCAAAAUCUGCUCCACCUGUAUUAAAUUUACAAUUUUGAUUUCAAGGCCUAAAUGAAUGAAUAAUGAAAUGAGACAACGAAUAAAUAAAUACAUGAGACAACUAUGAAUAAAUAAAUAAACAAAAAGAGACUUUCUAGUCUCUUUGUUGCUUCAAAGAUGGGACUUUAACCCAUCCUUCUUCUUUCGACUUCUUGUAUUCAUUUGCCAUGCGAUCGAUUUUUAGGUCUUUCAAAAGUCUUCUAAAAGGAGUGGGCCUCAAUGGACCAUUACAUAAUGCGAAGAAAAAGAGUCCACUUGACUCCCAAAUGAGUUCAUGCAAGGAAAAAAGAAACGAAGGAAUUAAUGUGUCGAAGAAAAGAUAAGUAGAUUGGUAAAUACACAUUUGAUAAGAAUAAGUAAUGUAAUUUGAGCAACCUCACAAAUUAAGGCAUUCAAAGUUAGUAAAAAAAAACAUGAAAGGAUCCCAAGCUAAAUACCAUGGAUUUUCAUCCUAAGGACCCAGUAAAGUUAUCAAUUCAUAAUUGUCAAGGCAGAUUCCACAAGGAGUAUUCUGAUCCUGAAUCAAAGUCGUGCCAAUUGCAGUUUUAUUAAGUAGAAAUUCAAAAUAAUGGGAUAUGAAUCAAGUAUAGUCUCGAUUAGGCCUUCAAAAUUAACAAGCAUAGCAUACUCAAAAUAGAUGGUUGAAAGCAGUUAGUCGAUCUUAGCAUAUGAACACACAUUUUGGCCAAAGCAAACUAAAUGCAGACCCGAACAAAGACAAUACAUAGAAACGCAAAGGAACACUCAUGCUUAUGGACAGAUCAAACCUAUUGCAGCAACGCAAAAUAACAGCAUAAUGAACUUCUACUCAUACUUUACAUACUUGAAAUGAACAUACUUGAAAAGAGGCAAACAUUAUCAGGGGGACGCAUGUCAUUGAUUCUAAACAAUUUUAAUUCACUUUAUGGUCCGAAAUUAUACUAAUACCUAGCCUAAAUCAAUCUCAAUCACCCAUUUACCAAAAGGGAUAUUUUGAAGGAGCAAAGAGGUUAGACAGAUUCGACAAAAUCAGUAUCAAAGACUAAAUAUCGCAAAAACACCUUUACGAGCAAGCAAAUCCUCAUUUGUUUCAAGAAAUUCCAGAAUUUUUUUUUUCUUUAAAAUAAAAUCUCAUUACAACCAGCUAACAGUGAAUUUAUCAAACAAGAAAACAGCAGAUCAGAUAAUGAUGAACUAAAAAAAACAUCUAACUAUAGAUUAGAAGGCAAGACAUUAUCUGGAAACAAUAAAUCAAUACUCAACACUUCAACCAAACUUCGAUAUGCCAGAAUCAUAAUCAUCAUUUUUAGCGACCCCCAACAAACAACCUCACAAUUACGAUAUUAUAAAAAAGGAGAUGAAAAAGAGAAAACCAUAACAAAAAUUAAAACGGAAAAGGAGUUUACCUCUUUCGGAGCAACAAAAUAGAACAACGAGCUUUUGACGGAGUUUCCUCGCCACCACCGAAAAAGCUUCACAGCGACUCCGUCCGUUCGCACCGACUCCGAAAACGUCAAAAUAGUCGACUGCUUUCUGGAACAAAUUUUCUACUAAAAAAAUACUCCUUGCUUGAAAGUAGAUUUUUUCCACCUUCAAGACUUGGGAUUUUCAGCUCAAUGAUGAGAUUUAUCUAGAAUGAAUUGUAGGGAUCCCGUUACCCCUUCGUUGAUGUGGGAUAAAAGGUCAUGGAAGGUAGUUUGGGAAUUUUCAAAAGAUGAUAAGGGGGGUCAGCUGUGUUUGUAUGAAAUUCACACUUUGGUACAAAAUUUGAAUUUUGAAUUCCAAUUUUCGAUUGGGAUGAGGCUGAGUUGUUGAUUUCGCACGUAUUGGUACGAAUUUGAGAAAAUCGUCGAUGUGAACUGGGGAUUGUUUGGGUCGGCCAGCUGUUGCUGCGCUGGAAUUGGGUUUUAUCGAGUGUGUUGAGGGGAGAGGCCAGUUUGCCGGGCGGUUGUCGCCGUCGGGUUCGGAUCGGGUCUAUUUGGUUGUCGUUGGGUGAAGCUGAUUGUUUGUCGUUGAUUUAGGAGCUGCUCUUGUUUUAUGUUGUUGUGGUUCGCUCUUUGAAGAAGAAAGGAGUGGGCCCGGGUCAGUUUGAGAGGUUUGGGCCCGGUAAGGGUGUUUUGGAGAGUGGGCUACUGAUGUUAAGGUUGGGCUGAUAUUGUUGGUGAUGAAAUUAUUUUGGGACGGGUCAGGCGAAUUUGGGCCUGGGCUGGUAGAUUGUGUGUUAAUUGGGGGUUAUUUAAAAUAACCCCAAAUUAAAUUAUGGUAUGAAUAGAUUAGACAAUUGCAUUUAUUAAAUAGGCCAAAAGGAAAGUUUAGACAAUUGCAUUUAAAAUU